ACGACGUCUAAUACCGGAUACGAGCUGGGACCGCAUGGUCACCAGCUGGAAAGAACUUUGGUCAGGGAUGAGCUCGCGGCCUAUCAGCUUGUUGGUGAGGUAAUGGCUCACCAAGGCGACGACGGGUAGCCGGCCUGAGAGGGUGACCGGCCACACUGGGACUGAGACACGGCCCAGACUCCUACGGGAGGCAGCAGUGGGGAAUAUUGCACAAUGGGCGCAAGCCUGAUGCAGCAACGCCGCGUGAGGGACGAAGGCCUUCGGGUUGUAAACCUCUUUUAGCAGGGAAGAAGCGAAAGUGACGGUACCUGC
Molecule: ribosomal RNA, 312 nt
Filed under: uncultured Microbacterium sp.
Lineage: Bacteria; Bacillati; Actinomycetota; Actinomycetes; Micrococcales; Microbacteriaceae
Description: bacterial SSU rRNA
Rfam family: Bacterial small subunit ribosomal RNA
Source: RNAcentral